ACUCAAAUGAAUAGACGGGGGCCCGCACAAGCGGCGGAGCAUGCGGAUUAAUUCGAUGCAACGCGAAGAACCUUACCUGGGUUUGACAUACACCGGAAAGUGCCAGAGAUGGUGCCCCUUUUUGUCGGUGUACAGGUGGUGCAUGGCUGUCGUCAGCUCGUGUCGUGAGAUGUUGGGUUAAGUCCCGCAACGAGCGCAACCCUCGUCCUAUGUUGCCAGCAAUUCGGUUGGGGACUCAUAGGAGACUGCCGGGGUCAACUCGGAGGAAGGUGGGGAUGACGUCAAGUCAUCAUGCCCCUUAUGUCCAGGGCUUCACGCAUGCUACAAUGGCCGGUACAAAGGGCUGCGAUCCCGUGAGGGGGAGCGAAUCCCAAAAAGCCGGUCUCAGUUCGGAUUGGGGUCUGCAACUCGACCCCAUGAAGUCGGAGUCGCUAGUAAUCGCAGAUCAGCAACGCUGCGGUGAAUACGUUCCCGGGCCUUGUACACACCGCCCGU
Molecule: ribosomal RNA, 495 nt
Filed under: uncultured bacterium
Lineage: Bacteria
Description: bacterial SSU rRNA
Rfam family: Bacterial small subunit ribosomal RNA
Source: RNAcentral